CGGGGUGGAGUAAUGCUUGGGAAUCUAGCUUAUGGAGGGGGGUAACUACGGGAAACUGUAGCUAAUACCGCGUAGUAUCGGAAGAUGAAAGUAUGGGACCUUCGGGCCACAUGCCAUAGGAUGAGCCCAAGUGGGAUUAGGUAGUUGGUGAGGUAAAGGCUCACCAAGCCGACGAUCUCUAGCUGGUCUGAGAGGAUGACCAGCCACACUGGGACUGAGACACGGCCCAG
This 230-nucleotide ribosomal RNA is filed under the name uncultured bacterium. RNAcentral describes it as "partial 16S ribosomal RNA". It matches the Rfam family "Bacterial small subunit ribosomal RNA", at positions 104 to 334 of the family's 1533-position model. The record is from RNAcentral.